This 253-nucleotide ribosomal RNA is filed under the name uncultured bacterium. Its description in RNAcentral is "partial 16S ribosomal RNA". It matches the Rfam family "Bacterial small subunit ribosomal RNA", at positions 524 to 776 of the family's 1533-position model. The record is from RNAcentral.
UACGUAGGGACCGAGCGUUGUCCGGAAUCAUUGGGCGUAAAGAGCGUGUAGGCGUCCUGUUAAGUCUUGCGUGAAAUCUCGGGGCUCAACCCCGAGCGGUCGUGAGAAACUGGCAGGCUAGAGUGCGGGAGAGGAGAAUGGAAUUCCUGGUGUAGCGGUGAAAUGCGCAGAUAUCAGGAGGAACACCGGUGGCGAAGGCGGGUCUCUGGGCAGUAACUGACGCUGAGGAGCGAAAGCGUGGGGAGCGAACAGG